GAGUCCCUUGGAUCCCAUGACCAGCCCAGGAUCCGGGCUAAUUCUCCAAGCAAAUUUUGUCCACAGUCAACGACGGGAGUCCUUCCUGUAUCGAUCCGACAGCGAUUAUGACCUCUCUCCAAAGUCUAUGUCCCGGAACUCCUCCAUUGCCAGUGAUAUACACGGAGAUGACUUGAUUGUGACUCCAUUUGCUCAGGUCUUGGCCAGUCUGCGAACUGUACGAAACAACUUUGCUGCAUUAACUAAUUUGCAAGAUCGAGCACCUAGCAAAAGAUCACCCAUGUGCAACCAACCAUCCAUCAACAAAGCCACCAUAACAGGAGCGGUGAAACUAGUACAGCUGCCUGCUCUUUACCUGUAGGGGGAGACACAUGAUGCAGUGACAAGCAUAGAACAGCACAGAAGUGGUUUUAGUCCAGAAAAUAAAUAAAUAAGUAAAUUGG
This 443-nucleotide non-coding RNA is filed under the name Pan troglodytes (chimpanzee). The record is from RNAcentral. Lineage: Eukaryota; Metazoa; Chordata; Mammalia; Primates; Hominidae. RNAcentral also lists the same sequence under 1 other name.